RNAcentral lists this ribosomal RNA (456 nucleotides) under Neisseria flava. Its description in RNAcentral is "bacterial SSU rRNA". It matches the Rfam family "Bacterial small subunit ribosomal RNA", at positions 30 to 486 of the family's 1533-position model. Lineage: Bacteria; Pseudomonadati; Pseudomonadota; Betaproteobacteria; Neisseriales; Neisseriaceae. The record is from RNAcentral.
AUUGAACGCUGGCGGCAUGCUUUACACAUGCAAGUCGGACGGCAGCACAGAGAAGCUUGCUUCUUGGGUGGCGAGUGGCGAACGGGUGAGUAACAUAUCGGAACGUACCGAGCAGUGGGGGAUAACUAAUCGAAAGAUUAGCUAAUACCGCAUAUUUUCUGAGGAAGAAAGCAGGGGACCAUUUGGCCUUGCGCUGUUUGAGCGGCCGAUAUCUGAUUAGCUAGUUGGUGGGGUAAAGGCUUACCAAGGCGACGAUCAGUAGCGGGUCUGAGAGGAUGAUCCGCCACACUGGGACUGAGACACGGCCCAGACUCCUACGGGAGGCAGCAGUGGGGAAUUUUGGACAAUGGGCGCAAGCCUGAUCCAGCCAUGCCGCGUGUCUGAAGAAGGCCUUCGGGUUGUAAAGGACUUUUGUCAGGGAAGAAAAGGGCGGGGUUAAUACCCCUGUCUGAAGAC